UUUUCCCUCCAACAAAAUUUCUCUCAAGAAAAACAAAGUUUCCCUCUCACUCUUGUCAGUUUCCCUCUCACCCUCAGUCUUUCUCAUUCCUUGUGAUAUCCAAACUUGCCUCCAAUCGUUCUUCAAAAAUCAUCAUCUACAGGUGUCUUGCUUGUGUUUCUGCAGUUUUCUCCACCAACCUUGUUCCUACUCUUGAGCUAAAGUCGUCGACAACAGUGGCAUCGUCGUCGACAUCAAAUGUUAUGGGAGUAGAGAAGCUAAUUGCCUUCAAGAUAAUGUCGCCUGGAUCUAAUUGUAAAAUCCACUUCAAACAUUGUCAUUCUGCAAUGGGCUGUUCACAAAGCUCAUGACUCGCGGCUCGGCUCGUAGCUCGCUCGAGAAAAACUAGCUAAAAAAACUCAAUUUGAGAUGACGUGAGCCAAGGUGGCUCAUUUUGUACUUGAGCUGAGCUCAAGCCAAGCUUGGCUCGGGUCAUGGCUCGGCUCGUUGGCUGGUUCUUAGGCUCGUUUAACUUAAAGCUAGAGCUUGGAUGAGACAAGUUGCCUUGGUAAAUUUCAAGCUUGAGGUCGAUCUCAACCUGGCUCGACUCGGCCCGACUCGUUUACAGCCCUAGUGUUCUAAAGGAGUGAAUGUAGGCACACUUACUUCUAGCUGUUGAAGUUAAAAAAGCCAUCGAGUGGAUAAUGUCGAAUCUUGACGGUCACUAUGCUGUUGAUUCGGUUGCUGCUGCAAUUGCUCACGGUGCUUUUGACUGCAGAAAUGGCUUCAGUGGCUGAUACCCAGUCCGGAUCAUUUCCUAUUUCAUCUCAGAAAAACGUUAUCAAGGUUUCUCCUGCCACUACUACAUCAAAUCUGUCAAAAAAAUUUCAGAGCAGAUGUAUUGACUCUGUCAAAUUAAAAAGUUUACAAUACUUGUUGUAGAUUCCAUUGAUCACGUCUUGAAUCUCUGAGACUUUGGAGCUUUACACACAUACUAAGGUCGGAGAUCAAGUUUUCCUCAAAAGUAUUUUAAACUCUACCGAGACUGUAGCAAGAGGAAGGGUCUAGAGCUUGGACCCAAAUGAUCUAGUUAGUGGUACAGAGACUGGACCAGAAUGGUGUGAGGUAAACAUUCAAGUACCAAUAAAAAAGAUGAAAACUUGGUAAGACCAUAUGGUUUAUUUUCUACAAUUCAAGAUUGUAUUAGUACAUCCAUCGCAUGGCCCUAUCCAUUCAUCUCGGUUGUCCAUGAGGAUUGAGGACGCAUGAUGACUCAAGAUUUUA
Helianthus annuus (common sunflower) is the source of this 1263-nucleotide long non-coding RNA. RefSeq lists it as uncharacterized. The transcript is spliced from 8 exons. NCBI's taxonomy places the organism in Eukaryota, Viridiplantae, Streptophyta, Magnoliopsida, Asterales, Asteraceae. The record is from RefSeq and is a predicted model, not a curated record.